Molecule: ribosomal RNA, 460 nt
Filed under: uncultured bacterium
Lineage: Bacteria
Description: partial 16S ribosomal RNA
Rfam family: Bacterial small subunit ribosomal RNA
Source: RNAcentral
CCUACGGGUGGCAGCAGUGAGGAAUAUUGGUCAAUGGCCGUGAGGCUGAACCAGCCAAGUCGCGUUAAGGAAGACGGCCCUACGGUUUGUAAACCUCUUUUGUCGGGGAGCAAAGCGAUUCACGUGUGACUCAUUGCAAGUACCCGACGAAAAAGCAUCGGCUAACUCCGUGCCAGCAGCCGCGGUAAUACGGAGGAUGCAAGCGUUACUCGGAAUCACUGGGUGUAAAGAGUGCGUAGGCUGGAUAGUAAGUCAGCUGUGAAAUUCUAUGGCUUAACCAUAAAAUUGCAGUUGAAACUGUGAGACUAGAGUAUGGGAGAGGUAGGCGGAAUUCGUGGUGUAGGGGUAAAAUCCGUAGAGAUCAAGAAGAAGACGGAUUGCGAAGGCGACUUGCUAGAACAUAACUGACGCUGAUGCGCGAAAGCGUGGGGAGCAAACAGGAUUAGAUACCCGAGUAGUC